This 174-nucleotide non-coding RNA is filed under the name Beta vulgaris subsp. vulgaris (sugar beet). RNAcentral describes it as "Bacterial large subunit ribosomal RNA". It matches the Rfam family "Bacterial large subunit ribosomal RNA", at positions 46 to 232 of the family's 2925-position model. Lineage: Eukaryota; Viridiplantae; Streptophyta; Magnoliopsida; Caryophyllales; Amaranthaceae. The record is from Rfam by way of RNAcentral.
ACGAGGAAGGGUGUAUUAAUCGAUGAAAUGCUUCAGGGAGUUGGAAAUAAGCAGAGAUCCGGAGAUUCCCGAAUAGGUCAACCUUUUUCGAACUUCUGCUGAAUCCAUGGGCAGGCAAGAGACAAUUUGGCGAACUGAAACAUCUUAGUAGCCAGAGGAAAAGAAAGCAAAAGC